RNAcentral lists this ribosomal RNA (639 nucleotides) under bacterium TN34A. RNAcentral describes it as "bacterial SSU rRNA". It matches the Rfam family "Bacterial small subunit ribosomal RNA", at positions 894 to 1531 of the family's 1533-position model. The record is from RNAcentral.
CUAAAACUCAAAGGAAUUGACGGGGGCCCGCACAAGCGGCGGAGCAUGCGGAUUAAUUCGAUGCAACGCGAAGAACCUUACCAAGGCUUGACAUGAACCGGUAAUACCUGGAAACAGGUGCCCCGCUUGCGGUCGGUUUACAGGUGGUGCAUGGUUGUCGUCAGCUCGUGUCGUGAGAUGUUGGGUUAAGUCCCGCAACGAGCGCAACCCUCGUUCUAUGUUGCCAGCGCGUUAUGGCGGGGACUCAUAGGAGACUGCCGGGGUCAACUCGGAGGAAGGUGGGGACGACGUCAAAUCAUCAUGCCCCUUAUGUCUUGGGCUUCACGCAUGCUACAAUGGCCGGUACAAAGGGUUGCGAUACUGUGAGGUGGAGCUAAUCCCAAAAAGCCGGUCUCAGUUCGGAUUGGGGUCUGCAACUCGACCCCAUGAAGUCGGAGUCGCUAGUAAUCGCAGAUCAGCAACGCUGCGGUGAAUACGUUCCCGGGCCUUGUACACACCGCCCGUCAAGUCACGAAAGUUGGUAACACCCGAAGCCGGUGGCCUAACCCUUGUGGGGGGAGCCGUCGAAGGUGGGACCGGCGAUUGGGACUAAGUCGUAACAAGGUAGCCGUACCGGAAGGUGCGGCUGGAUCACCUCCU